GUGCCAGCCGCCGCGGUAACACGGGGGGAGCAAGCGUUGUUCGGAAUCACUGGGCGUAAAGGGCGUGUAGGCGGCCAAGUAAGUGAGAUGUGAAAUUCCCCGGCUCACCCGGGGACCUGCAUCUCAUACUGCCUGGCUUGAGUACGGGAGAGGAUGUGGGAAUUCCUGGUGUAGCGGUGAAAUGCGUAGAUAUCAGGAGGAACACCGGUGGCGAAAGCGCACAUCUGGCCCGAUACUGACGCUGAGGCGCGAAAGCUAGGGGAGCAAACGGGAUUAGAUACCCCCGUAGUCC
Molecule: ribosomal RNA, 292 nt
Filed under: uncultured bacterium
Lineage: Bacteria
Description: partial 16S ribosomal RNA
Rfam family: Bacterial small subunit ribosomal RNA
Source: RNAcentral